GGAGUUAAGAAAUGUAGAUUCGCUAAUAUCGGAUCUAUUUGACAAAGGCUCCAAAGGAAGCCACGGCUAACUCUGUGCCAGCAGCCGCGGUAAUACAGAGGUGGCAAGCGUUGUUCGGAAUUAUUGGGCGUAAAGAGCACGUAGGUGGAUUUGUAAGUCAGAUGUGAAAGCCUUCUGUUCAACGGGAGAAUUGCAUCUGAAACUACAGACCUUGAGUAUAGGAGGGGAGAGUGGAACUUCUG
Molecule: ribosomal RNA, 242 nt
Filed under: uncultured Planctomycetales bacterium
Lineage: Bacteria; Pseudomonadati; Planctomycetota; Planctomycetia; Planctomycetales
Description: partial 16S ribosomal RNA
Rfam family: Bacterial small subunit ribosomal RNA
Source: RNAcentral